Molecule: ribosomal RNA, 498 nt
Filed under: uncultured bacterium
Lineage: Bacteria
Description: partial 16S ribosomal RNA
Rfam family: Bacterial small subunit ribosomal RNA
Source: RNAcentral
AUUGAACGCUGGCGGCAUGCCUUACACAUGCAAGUCGAACGGUAACAGGUCUUCGGAUGCUGACGAGUGGCGAACGGGUGAGUAAUACAUCGGAACGUGCCUAGUAGUGGGGGAUAACUACUCGAAAGAGUGGCUAAUACCGCAUGCGAUCUACGGAUGAAUGCAGGGGAUCGCAAGACCUUGUGCUACUAGAGCGGCCGAUGGCAGAUUAGGUAGUUGGUGGGAUAAAAGCUUACCAAGCCGACGAUCUGUAGCUGGUCUGAGAGGACGAACAGCCACACUGGGACUGAGACACGGCCCAGACUCCUACGGGAGGCAGCAGUGGGGAAUUUUGGACAAUGGGCGAAAGCCUGAUCCAGCAAUGCCGCGUGCAGGAUGAAGGCCUUCGGGUUGUAAACUGCUUUUGUACGGAACGAAAAGCCCCGGGUUAAUACCCUGGGGUCAUGACGGUACCGUAAGAAUAAGCACCGGCUAACUACGUGCCAGCCGCCGCCGUAA